UGGUCAAGUUAUUAAGGGUGCAGGGCGGAUGCCUUGGCACUAGGAGCCGAUGAAGGACGUGAUAAGCUGCGAUAAGCUUCGGGGAGUUGCACGUAAACUUUGAUCCGAAGAUUUCCGAAUGAGGAAACUCACUUAGAGUAAUGUCUAAGUAUCAUUAAGUGAAUACAUAGCUUAAUGAGGGGAACUCAGGGAACUGAAACAUCUAAGUACCUGAAGGAAGAGAAAGAAAUUCGAUUCCGUAAGUAGCGGCGAGCGAACGCGGAUUAGCCCAAACCAAUAAAGUUUUCUUUAUUGGGGUUGCGGACAUAUCAUAACGAAGAGGUAUCGUAAUUGAAGAGGUUUGGAAAGACCCACCACAGAAGGUAAUAGUCCUGUAUGUUAAACGAGAAGACUUUAGAUAUGAUCCAGAGUACCACGGGACACGUGAAACCCUGUGGGAAGCAGGAGGGACCACCCUCCAAGGCUAAAUACUACCUAGUGACCGAUAGCGUAUAGUACCGUGAGGGAAAGGUGAAAAGAACCCCGGGAGGGGAGUGAAAUAGAACCUGAAACCCUGCACUUACAAGCUGUGGAAGCACAUUUCUUGUGUGACCGCGUACUUUUUUGUAGAACGGGCCAACGAGUUACGUUAAGUAGCAAGGUUAAGCACUUAAGGUGCGGAGCCGUAGCGAAAGCGAGUUUUAACUGAGCGUUCAGUUACUUGACGUAGACCCGAAACCGGGCGACCUACCCAUGAGCAGGAUGAAGCGAAAGUAAAAUUUCGUGGAGGUCCGAACCCACGAGCGUUGAAAAGCUCGGGGAUGACUUGUGGGUAGCGGUGAAAUUCCAAUCGAGCCCGGAGAUAGCUGGUUCUCCCCGAAAUAGCUUUAGGGCUAGCCUCAAGGUGAGAGAUACGGAGGUAGAGCACUGAAUGUCCUAGGGGGUAUUGCACCUACCGAAGACUAUCAAACUCCGAAUGCCGUCAUCUUAUACUUGGGAGUCAGACUGUGGGUGAUAAGAUUCAUAGUCGAAAGGGCAACAGCCCAGAUCGUCAGCUAAGGUCCCUAAAUGUAAGUUAAGUGGUAAAGGAUGUGGGAUUGCACAGACAACCAGGAUGUUGGCUUAGAAGCAGCCACUCAUUCAAAGAGUGCGUAAUAGCUCACUGGUCGAGUGAUCCUGCGCCGAAGAUUUCCGGGGCUAAAACUUACUACCGAAGCUACGGCAUCAGUAAUGAUGGUGGGGAGCUUCCCAUACGGGUUGAAGCAUGACCGUAAGGACAUGUGGACAGUAUGGGAGUGAGAAUGUUGGCAUGAGUAGCGAGAUGUGGGUGAGAAUCCCACAGGCCGUAAACCCAAGGUUUCCAGGGGGAAGGUUCGUCCGCCCUGGGUUAGUCGGGACCUAAGCUGAGGCCGAAAGGCGUAGGUGAUGGACAACAGGUUGAUAUUCCUGUACUACCGAUAACCGUUUGAGAGAAGGGAUGACACAGUAGGAUAAGCUAAGCACACUGUUGGUUAUGUGUGCCCAAGCAUUGAGGCAGUCAAAGUAGGCAAAUCCGCUUUGAUAAUGCUGGGAUGUGAUGGGGAGCGAAAUUUAGUAGCGAAGUAGCUGAUUUCACACUGUCAAGAAAAGUCUCUAUCGAGGUUAAAGGUACCCGUACCGCAAACCGACACAGGUGGGUGAGGAGAGUAUCCUAAGGCCAGCGAGAGAACUGUUGUUAAGGAACUCGGCAAAAUGACCCCGUAACUUAGGGAUAAGGGGUGCCACCAUCAGGUGGCCGCAGAGAAUAGGCCCAAGCGACUGUUUACCAAAAACAUAGGUUUCUGCUAAGUCGCAAGACGAUGUAUAGGAGCUGACGCCUGCCCGGUGCUGGAAGGUUAAGGGGAUCUGUUAGAGCAAUCGAAGCAGUGAACUUAAGCCCCAGUAAACGGCGGCCGUAACUAUAACGGUCCUAAGGUAGCGAAAUUCCUUGUCGGGUAAGUUCCGACCCGCACGAAAGGCGUAACGAUUUGGGCACUGUCUCAACAACAGACUCGGUGAAAUUGUAAUUCCGGUGAAGAUGCCGGAUACCUGCGACAGGACGGAAAGACCCCAUGGAGCUUUACUGUAGCUUGACAUUGGGUCUUGGUACUACAUGUACAGGAUAGGUGGGAGGCUUUGAAACCAGGACGCCAGUUUUGGCGGAGCCAUCCUUGGGAUACCACCCUUGUAGUACUGGGACUCUAACCAUAGGCCAUGAAUCUGGUCUUGGGACACUGUCAGGUGGGCAGUUUGACUGGGGCGGUCGCCUCCCAAAAGGUAACGGAGGCGCUCAAAGGUUCUCUCAGUACGGUCGGAAAUCGUACGUAGAGUGUAAAGGCAAAAGAGAGCUUGAUUGCAAGACAUACAGGUCGAGCAAGGAUGAAAAUCGGACUUAGUGAUCCGGUGGUUCUGCGUGGAAGGGCCAUCGCUCAACGGAUAAAAGCUACCCUGGGGAUAACAGGCUUAUCUCCCCCAAGAGUCCACAUCGACGGGGAGGUUUGGCACCUCGAUGUCGGCUCAUCACAUCCUGGGGCUGUAGUAGGUCCCAAGGGUUGGGCUGUUCGCCCAUUAAAGUGGUACGCGAGCUGGGUUCAGAACGUCGUGAGACAGUUCGGUCCCUAUCCGUCGCAGGCGUAGGAAAUUUGAGAAGACCUGUCCUUAGUACGAGAGGACCGGGAUGGACGUACCUCUGGUGUACCAGUUGUCCUGCCAAGGGCAUGGCUGGGUAGCUAUGUACGGAAUGGAUAAGCGCUGAAAGCAUCUAAGCGCGAAGCCAACUUCAAGAUAAGAUUUCCCACCGCAAGGGUAAGACCCCAGAAAGACUAUCUGGUUGAUAGGUCGAAGGUGUAAGUGCAGCAAUGUAUUUAGCUUAUCGAUACUAAUAGGUCGAGGACUUGACCAAU
RNAcentral lists this ribosomal RNA (2900 nucleotides) under Clostridioides difficile. Its description in RNAcentral is "23S ribosomal RNA". It matches the Rfam family "Bacterial large subunit ribosomal RNA". Lineage: Bacteria; Bacillati; Bacillota; Clostridia; Peptostreptococcales; Peptostreptococcaceae. The record is from RNAcentral.